RNAcentral lists this unclassified non-coding RNA (402 nucleotides) under Hevea brasiliensis (rubber tree). The record is from RNAcentral. Lineage: Eukaryota; Viridiplantae; Streptophyta; Magnoliopsida; Malpighiales; Euphorbiaceae.
GAGAGAGAACGCAAAAGUUUUCCGACGAUGUUUCUGCGAGCGAUCGGACGGCCAUUAUUGGCCAAAGUUAAGCAGACGACGGGGAUCGUUGGUCUGGAUGUUGUCCCCAACGCCCGAGAGGUCUUGAUCGGCCUUUACAGUAAAACCCUAAAGGAGAUCCAGGCCGUUCCCGAGGAUGAAGGAUACCGUAAGGCGGUCGAGAGCUUCACGCGCCACCGCUUGAAGGUCUGCCAGGAGGAAGAGGACUGGGAGAAAAUCGAACAGCGGCUUGGCUGUGGUCAGGUCGAGGAGCUAAUCGAGGAGGCUCAGGACGAGCUCAAACUCAUUGCUAAAAUGAUCGAAUGGGAUCCCUGGGGUAUUCCUGAUGACUACGAAUGUGAAGUGAUUGAGAAUGAUGCUCCG